UAGUGGCAAACGGGUGAGUAACACGUGGGUUACCUACCUCUAAGUUGGGGAUAACAGUUGGAAACGAUUUAGCUAAUACCGAAUGUACUCUACGGAGUAAAGGAGCUUUAAAGCUUCGCUUAGAGAUGGGCCUGCGGUGUAUUAGCUAGUUGGUGAGGUAAUGGCCACCAAGGCUGCGAUACAUAGCCGAACUGAGAGGUUAAUCGGCCACAUUGGGACUGAGAUACGGCCCAAACUCCUACGGGAGACAGCAGUUAGGAAUAUUCGUCAAUGGGGGAAACCCUGAACGAGCGAUGCCGCGUGAGUGAUGACAGCCCUUUGGGUUGUAAAACUCUGUUGUUUGGGAAGAACAGAGAGAAUAGGAAAUGAUUCUCUUUUGACGGUACCAUUCAAGAAAGCUCCGGCUAACUACGUG
RNAcentral lists this ribosomal RNA (415 nucleotides) under uncultured bacterium. RNAcentral's name for it is "bacterial SSU rRNA". It matches the Rfam family "Bacterial small subunit ribosomal RNA", at positions 93 to 507 of the family's 1533-position model. The record is from RNAcentral.